Molecule: non-coding RNA, 2009 nt
Organism: Vicugna pacos (alpaca)
Lineage: Eukaryota; Metazoa; Chordata; Mammalia; Artiodactyla; Camelidae
Source: RefSeq, a predicted model, not a curated record
CAAGGAUGCUGAGGAGUAUGUGGUCUGGUUGCAUUUUUAAAGAGAGUUCUGGGGCCAGGGAACGGCAGAGGGGAAGCAAUCUUCCUUCUACCUCCCUCUCAAGGUAAACCAAGGGAAAAAGCAGACACAUCUCUUACGGUGCUGGAGCAGGGGAGUCAUUUGGUCCUUCUGGAUCCUUGGAUUCCCACACUGGGUCUGAAAGGGAGAGGCAGUGGAUUGAGAAAGGGGUUCUGAAGGCAAGAGUCAGGAAACAAUUCUAGUUUUUCUCUCCCAUCACCUGGCAGGGUGGUCAGUGAGUGGUCUGCCCUCCUGCAAUUCAACCAUAAAGUGAAAUGUUAUAGGCUUCCAGACAGACUUAAUCAAUCUCACAUUCCUUUGUACUUUUGGAGAUGUUUAGGGUUUGGAAAGAAAAUAUUAAAUGCUUUGAGCUUGUAGCACACACACAGUGGAGCCAUGUAAAUCUAAGUUGUGUAAAUACAAUGGUCUCUUGAUAUCCACUGCAGGGAGUGGUCCCAGGACCCCAAGGAUAUCAAAACCCACAGAUGCUCAAGUCCCUUAUAUAAAAUGGCAUAGUAUUGGAACAUAACCUACACACAUCUUCCCAUAUAUUUCAAAUCGUCUUUAGAUUAUUUAUAAUACCUUCUGCAAUGAAAAUGCUAAGUAAAUCAUUGUAAAUACAAGGAAAUGCUAUGUAAACAGUUGCCAGUGCUCAGUAAACUCAAGUUUUGCUUUUUAGAACCUUCUAGAAUUACUUUCUUUUCCUGAAUAGUUUCAAUCUGUGGUUGGUUGAAGCCAUGGAUGCAGAAGCCUUGGAUACAGAGGACCUACUGCAUUUCUUAAAAGAUAAAAGCCAGUCCAGGACUUCAACAGGCUUAUAAUUAACCCGUGAAAUGUCACUGAGCUCUCUUUAAAAUAAAGUUACCAAGUCCGGGAAGGAAACUGGAUCUGUUCUGGCUGAAGCUUCAGCUUACUCUGCCUCUGGAUGUGAUUAAAAUAUUACGCCUGUUUCUCUUCAUGGCUGUGAGCCAGAUGAUUUUGAGACUGCGGAUGGUGAAGGGUUCCGGGCACUAAAACCACUGGGGCUGGAGAACGCAGCUCUCUGGCAUCCACCUGGUCUUUUCAAACAAUUGCGGGAGAUCUGCCUUUCUGCUCUCUGCUCUCCUAUUUCUCCCACUUGGAAAGUGGAUGAGACACAUUCGUUUUCCUCAUGGGUAGAGAACUAGGCAAAGCUUCAUCUGACCUCGGUAAAGCCCUGGGAAGGAAUGUCCCCUUUUGCCCAGUGCCACAGUGUUCUACUCACCCACAGGGAUACGCCUCCCUCCCUCUGAAGCAAGAAGAAUCAACAUCUGGCGCGAUGCCACUUGGGGCAGAUUUUCAAGUCUGAACUGGCGUAAACACUUUAAAAUGGAUGUGUGAAGCCAGGGCUUUUCACAAGGAGAUACAAGGAGAAAUCUUCUAAGAGCUUGUCCUGAAACUGAAAAUUGAUGGAACUCCAAGAGCUUCCAAGACGAUGGGCCCUUGGCUGAGUAUUUCCCAGCUGAGUGGAAAGUCUCACUGGCAAAGCGGAGCGGGGUGUGCAGUAAUAGAAGAGAGAGGGCUGUGUGGACAAGGACACCUGAACUUGGCAGGGGAAGUGAGCCCUUGGACAGUUGCCAGAGGGGUGCAACCGCUGUGAUCAGUUCUCAGGCAGCUGGAUGUGUAAGGGAUGGGGGGAAAGCCUCCAAGUCACACCUGAUCCUGCUCCACACAGUUACAGCUUCGUACUCCGAGAAGAAUCGCAAGCAAAUAAGCAGUUGUGACCCAAACAAAACGCGAAAAGAUCCUGCCUUUCUCCAACUAAUGCCCAUGGCGGUUCGUUCUGGAAAGCAGAUGUUAAAGGUGUGUUGCCUUCUCCACCUGGCGCCUUGGUUACUGAACACAUUAUUCCUGCUGCUUCAUGGACCGUUUCAGGUACAGGACUGAAUAUUCAUAAGGAAUUAAAGAGUGGCUAUCCCUCCCUUUGCCUACAA